CAGUAGCCGCGGUAAUACAGAGGAUGCAAGCGUUAUCCGGAUGAUUGGGCGUAAAGCGUCUGUAGGUGGCUUUUCAAGUCCGCCGUCAAAUCCCAGGGCUCAACCCUGGACAGGCGGUGGAAACUACCAAGCUGGAGUACGGUAGGGGUAGAGGGGAUUUCCGGUGAAGCGGUGAAAUGCGUUGAGAUCGGAAAGAACACCAACGGCGAAAGCACUCUGCUGGGCCGACACUGACACUGAGAGACGAAAGCUAGGGGAGCAAACAGGAUUAGAUACCCCAGUAGUCCCUGUCUCUUAUACA
Molecule: ribosomal RNA, 301 nt
Filed under: uncultured bacterium
Lineage: Bacteria
Description: partial 16S ribosomal RNA
Rfam family: Bacterial small subunit ribosomal RNA
Source: RNAcentral